GGAUGUGAGGGCGAUCUGGCUGCGACAUCUGUCACCCCAUUGAUCGCCAGGGUUGAUUCGGCUGAUCUGGCUGGCUAGGCGGGUGUCCCCUUCCUCCCUCACCGCUCCAUGUGCGUCCCUCCCGAAGCUGCGCGCUGGGUCGAAGAGGACGACCUUCCCCGAUAGAGGAGAGGACCGUUCUUCGGUCAAGGGUAUACGAGUAGCUGCGCUCCCCUGCUAGAACCUCCAAACAAGCUCCCAAAUGUGCUGUAGGGAAAAGAUCUGACCUUAGUUUUCUACUUU
Molecule: small nuclear RNA, 282 nt
Filed under: Mustela putorius furo (domestic ferret)
Lineage: Eukaryota; Metazoa; Chordata; Mammalia; Carnivora; Mustelidae
Description: 7SK RNA (ENSMPUG00000021430.1)
Rfam family: 7SK RNA
About the family: 7SK was discovered as an abundant small nuclear RNA in the mid-70s but a possible function has only recently been suggested. Two independent studies have found that 7SK RNA binds the CDK9/cyclin T complex (known as elongation factor P-TEFb). P-TEFb activates transcription by phosphorylating the C-terminal domain of RNA polymerase II.
Source: RNAcentral